RNAcentral lists this ribosomal RNA (253 nucleotides) under uncultured bacterium. Its description in RNAcentral is "partial 16S ribosomal RNA". It matches the Rfam family "Bacterial small subunit ribosomal RNA", at positions 524 to 776 of the family's 1533-position model. The record is from RNAcentral.
UACGAAGGGGGCUAGCGUUACUCGGAUUGACUGGGCGUAAAGGGCGCGUAGGCGGCAGAUCAAGUCCGGGGUGAAAGCCCCCAGCUCAACUGGGGAAGUGCCUUGGAUACUGGUUUGCUCGAGGGAGGUAGGGGUCGCGGGAACUUCCGGUGGAGCGGUGAAAUGCGUUGAUAUCGGAAGGAACGCCGGUGGCGAAAGCGCGCGACUGGACCUCUUCUGACGCUGAGGCGCGAAAGCCAGGGGAGCGAACGGG